This 506-nucleotide ribosomal RNA is filed under the name uncultured bacterium. RNAcentral describes it as "partial 16S ribosomal RNA". It matches the Rfam family "Bacterial small subunit ribosomal RNA", at positions 30 to 523 of the family's 1533-position model. The record is from RNAcentral.
AUUGAACGCUGGCGGCAGGCCUAACACAUGCAAGUCGGACGGCAGCGGGGGAUAGCUUGCUAUCCUGCCGGCGAGUGGCGGACGGGUGAGUAAUGCAUGGGGAGCUGCCCAGUCGAGGGGGAUAACAACUGGAAACGGUUGCUAAUACCGCAUACGCCCUGAGGGGGAAAGGUGGGGAACUUCGGUCCUACCGCGAUUGGAUGCGCCCAUGUGGGAUUAGCUAGUUGGUGAGGUAACGGCUCACCAAGGCGACGAUCUCUAGCUGGUCUGAGAGGAUGACCAGCCACACUGGAACUGAGACACGGUCCAGACUCCUACGGGAGGCAGCAGUGGGGAAUAUUGCACAAUGGGGGAAACCCUGAUGCAGCCAUGCCGCGUGUGUGAAGAAGGCCUUCGGGUUGUAAAGCACUUUCAGUCAGGAGGAAGGGGUGAUGGCUAAUAUCCAUCAUCAUUGACGUUACUGACAGAAGAAGCACCGGCUAACUCCGUGCCAGCCGCCGCGGUAA